This 501-nucleotide ribosomal RNA is filed under the name uncultured bacterium. RNAcentral describes it as "bacterial SSU rRNA". It matches the Rfam family "Bacterial small subunit ribosomal RNA", at positions 29 to 518 of the family's 1533-position model. The record is from RNAcentral.
AACGAACGCUGGCGGCGCGUCUUAAGCAUGCAAGUCGGACGGCAAGAUGCCUUCGGGCAUCCUAGAGUGGCGAACGGGUGAGUAACACGUAAGUGAUCUGCCCCGCAGUUGGGGAUAGCCUGUGGAAACACAGGGUAAUACCGGAUGAGAUGUCAAUGAUUGAACUAUGACAUGAAAGUGGCUACGGCCACGCUGCGGGAUGAGCUUGCGGCUCAUUAGCUAGUUGGGGGUGUAACGGACCACCAAGGCGACGAUGAGUAGCCGGCCUGAGAGGGUGAACGGCCACAUUGGGACUGAGACACGGCCCAGACUCCUACGGGAGGCAGCAGCUAAGAAUAUUCCGCAAUGGGGGAAACCCUGACGGAGCGACGCCGCGUGAACGAUGAAGGCAAGAGAUGUUGUAAAGUUCUUUUAUCACUGGAGAAUAACCGGGGCAGGGAAUGGCUCCGGGAUGACGUCAGGUGAUGAAUAAGCCACGGCUAACUACGUGCCAGCAGCCGC